ACGGAGGGUGCAAGCGUUAAUCGGAAUCACUGGGCGUAAAGCGCGCGUAGGCGGUUGGAUAAGUCAGAUGUGAAAGCCCCGGGCUCAACCUGGGAAUAGCAUUUGAUACUGUUCGGCUUGAGUCUGGUAGAGGAGGGUAGAAUUCCCGGUGUAGCGGUGAAAUGCGUAGAGAUCGGGAGGAAUACCAGUGGCGAAGGCGGCCCUCUGGACCAAGACUGACGCUGAGGUGCGAAAGCGUGGGGAGCAAACAGG
Molecule: ribosomal RNA, 252 nt
Filed under: uncultured bacterium
Lineage: Bacteria
Description: partial 16S ribosomal RNA
Rfam family: Bacterial small subunit ribosomal RNA
Source: RNAcentral